AUGAAAAAAGCACAAGAAAAGCUUGGAGCAUUGCUGGGGCGAAACCCUGGCUUCUCCAAAGAUUUCAACAACUAUGUUGACUUCAGCUUGACGCCGAAAGAAUUUGAGGCAGGGUGGUGUGAGCUGAUGAUGAAGUAUGAGGCUAUGACUGACUCCCACUUCGAGAAUCUAUACAAGUACAGAGAGACAUGGGUACCCUGCUACUUCAAGCACCAAUUCUUCCCUUUCUUGCAGUCAACUCAACACUGCGAGGGGUUCAACGCUGCCCUUAAGCGAUAUGUGAACCCACACAAGUCCAUUUUGAACUUUGUGAAGCAAUAUCAGAAAAUCCAAACACACAUACUAGUCCGGGAGGGUUCAAAAGACUACAGGACAGGACAUUUACAGACUGAAAUGUGGUCAUCUUACCCAAUAGAGAAGCAGGCGUACGGAUCGUAUACUAGGGACUUGUACGAGAAGUUUCGUGAUGAGUUUCAGUUGACUACAAGGUACAAUGUGCGACCGCAUGGUGAAAACUUGUAUGAGGUUUACCCAAAUCAAGAGUGGGUUGCCAAAUAUGGUUCUAGGGGCUAUUUUGUCAUGGUGGAAGCUAGUGCUGGAGACUACGUAUGUGACUACUGCAAGAUUGAGAGGGACGGCAUGCUUUGCUGCCAUAUCUUGAAAGUUUUCAACCAACUUGGUGUUGAUGAAAUCCCAGCGCAGUACAUACUUAGAAGAUGGACACCUAUGGCAAUUCCCAACGCACCCCCUUUGUCGAAGAGCAACCUGAUGAGAUGCCACCACAGUCGAAGAAGGAACUCAGGCAUGCAAAUUUGA
RNAcentral lists this ribosomal RNA (816 nucleotides) under Triticum aestivum (bread wheat). RNAcentral describes it as "partial small subunit ribosomal RNA". Lineage: Eukaryota; Viridiplantae; Streptophyta; Magnoliopsida; Poales; Poaceae. The record is from RNAcentral.